RNAcentral lists this ribosomal RNA (253 nucleotides) under uncultured bacterium. Its description in RNAcentral is "partial 16S ribosomal RNA". It matches the Rfam family "Bacterial small subunit ribosomal RNA", at positions 524 to 776 of the family's 1533-position model. The record is from RNAcentral.
UACAGAGGUCCCAAGCGUUGUUCGGAUUCACUGGGCGUAAAGGGUGCGUAGGCGGCGAGGUAAGUCGGAUGUGAAAGCUCGGAGCUCAACUCCGAAAUGGCAUUGGAAACUACCUUGCUCGAGGGUUGGAAGGGGGACUGGAAUGCUUGGUGUAGCAGUGAAAUGCGUAGAUAUCAAGCGGAACACCAGUGGCGAAGGCGAGUCCCUGGACAACUACUGACACUGAGGCACGAAAGCUAGGGGAGCAAACAGG